This 468-nucleotide ribosomal RNA is filed under the name uncultured bacterium. RNAcentral describes it as "partial 16S ribosomal RNA". It matches the Rfam family "Bacterial small subunit ribosomal RNA", at positions 28 to 507 of the family's 1533-position model. The record is from RNAcentral.
GACGAACGCUGGCGGCGUGCUUAACACAUGCAAGUCGAACGGAAAGGCCCUGCUUUUGUGGGGUGCUCGAGUGGCGAACGGGUGAGUAACACGUGAGUGACCUGCCCUUGACUUUGGGAUAACUUCAGGAAACUGGGGCUAAUACCGGAUAGGAGCUCCUGCUGCAUGGUGGGGGUUGGAAAGUUUCGGCGGUUGGGGAUGGACUCGCGGCUUAUCAGCUUGUUGGUGGGGUAGUGGCUUACCAAGGCUUUGACGGGUAGCCGGCCUGAGAGGGUGACCGGCCACAUUGGGACUGAGAUACGGCCCAGACUCCUACGGGAGGCAGCAGUGGGGAAUAUUGCACAAUGGGCGGAAGCCUGAUGCAGCAACGCCGCGUGCGGGAUGACGGCCUUCGGGUUGUAAACCGCUUUCGCCUGUGACGAAGCGUGAGCGACGGUAAUGGGUAAAGAAGCACCGGCUAACUACGUG